AUUGAACGCUGGCGGCAUGCCUUACACAUGCAAGUCGAACGGCAGCACGGGAGCAAUCCUGGUGGCGAGUGGCGAACGGGUGAGUAAUGUAUCGGAACGUGCCCAGUCGUGGGGGAUAACGUAGCGAAAGCUACGCUAAUACCGCAUACGAUCUAUGGAUGAAAGCGGGGGACCGUAAGGCCUCGCGCGAUUGGAGCGGCCGAUAUCAGAUUAGGUAGUUGGUGGGGUAAAGGCCUACCAAGCCGACGAUCUGUAGCUGGUCUGAGAGGACGACCAGCCACACUGGGACGGGAACACGGCCCAGACUCCUACGGGAGGCAGCAGUGGGGAAUUGUUCGCAAUGGGCGCAAGCCUGACGACGCAACGCCGCGUGGAGGACGAAGAUCUUCGGGUCGUAAACUCCUGUCGAGCGGGAAGAACGCUUCCCGGGGCUAACAUCCUCGAAGGGUGAUGGUACCGAGAGAAGAAGCCCCGGCUAACUCCGUGCCAGCCGCCGCCGUAA
Molecule: ribosomal RNA, 502 nt
Filed under: uncultured bacterium
Lineage: Bacteria
Description: partial 16S ribosomal RNA
Rfam family: Bacterial small subunit ribosomal RNA
Source: RNAcentral